Small nuclear RNA from Lutra lutra (Eurasian river otter), 107 nucleotides. NCBI's taxonomy places the organism in Eukaryota, Metazoa, Chordata, Mammalia, Carnivora, Mustelidae. The record is from RefSeq and is a predicted model, not a curated record.
GUGCUCACCUCAGUGGCACAUAUACUAAAAUUUAAAUGAUACACAGAAGAUUAGCAUGGCACCUGCGGAGGCAUGACAUGCAAAAUUGUGAAGCAUUCCCUAUUUUU